Long non-coding RNA from Syngnathoides biaculeatus (alligator pipefish), 826 nucleotides. RefSeq lists it as uncharacterized. The record is from RefSeq and is a predicted model, not a curated record. NCBI's taxonomy places the organism in Eukaryota, Metazoa, Chordata, Actinopteri, Syngnathiformes, Syngnathidae. The transcript has 3 exons.
CACAAUCACACAGAGUGUCCAAUUAAUGUUGCAUGUUUUUCAGAUCUUGGAGGAAACUGGAGUGCCCAGAGAAAACCCACGCAGGGACGGGAGGAACAUGCAAACUUCACGGGCAGGACUGGGAUUUGAACCCCAGUCCUCAGAGUUGUGAGGCCAAUACUUUACAGGUCUCAGGUGCGCUGGACCAUAUAACUUUGGGGAAGAAGUGGGCUACACCAUGAACUUGUCGCCAACAGGUCGCAUGGCACAUACAGAACCUGGAGAAAAACCUCACAAGCAAGGGGAGACCAUGAAAACUCUUCACUGUUCCUGAACCAAAGUCACGCAGUUAUUAUCAAAUGUGUACUUUGCAAGGUCAAAAGUGAAUUCAGGACAUGGCUUUGUGAUAAAGGUUUGAUGAUGCUUGUUUGUUCAAAGUCUCUGAUUGUAUGUUCUCUAUCAGACCGUGCACAUCUAUUCUCUUUGUUCAGAUGAUCCCCAGGGUGCCUUACAAGUCGCGGGGUCAGUGCCUCUUCUGUUUGCUUCUGAACUUGGGAGCAUUCUAUUUAAUUAGGCAGCUAAUCAACCACUAAACACACAAGAAAAUGAGACAAUCUGUAUCUGUUUACUUUCCACACAACAGACACUUUCACACGCACACACACGCACGCACACCCGGACACGCACACGCAGACGCACACACACACGAUAUAUUUGCAUGUAUAGCAGGUUGGGGGGAAAAAAUCAUUUAUCCGGCAGAAAGAUCAAGGUCAUGGCUCCUCCUCAUGCCUGAUUCUGUGAACCAAUUAAUGCGUUGGUUGGUGAAGUUCAGUUGGAGGACGUUCAG